CCUACGGGAGGCAGCAGUAGGGAAUUUUCGUCAAUGGGGGGAACCCUGAACGAGCAAUGCCGCGUGAGUGAAGAAGGUCUUCGGAUCGUAAAGCUCUGUUGUAAGAGAAAAACGGGUAUCAUAGGGAAUGAUGAUAUCGUGAUGGUAUCUUACCAGAAAGCCACGGCUAACUACGUGCCAGCAGCCGCGGUAAUACGUAGGUGGCAAGCGUUAUCCGACAUGAUUGGGCGAAAGGGGUGCGUAGGCGGCAAAAUAAGUCUGAAGGAAAAGGCGUUGGCGAAACCAACGUAUGCAUUGGAAACUGGUAAGCUAGCGUGCAGGAGAGGUGAGUGGAAUU
RNAcentral lists this ribosomal RNA (337 nucleotides) under uncultured bacterium. RNAcentral's name for it is "partial 16S ribosomal RNA". It matches the Rfam family "Bacterial small subunit ribosomal RNA", at positions 338 to 668 of the family's 1533-position model. The record is from RNAcentral.